RNAcentral lists this ribosomal RNA (450 nucleotides) under uncultured bacterium. RNAcentral's name for it is "bacterial SSU rRNA". It matches the Rfam family "Bacterial small subunit ribosomal RNA", at positions 328 to 793 of the family's 1533-position model. The record is from RNAcentral.
CGCUAUCACUCCUACGGGAGGCAGCAGUGGGGAAUCUUGGACAAUGGGGGCAACCCCUGAUCCAGCCAUGCCGCGUGAGUGAUGAAGGCCUUAGGGUCGUAAAGCUCUUUCGCCUGUGAUGAUAAUGACAGUAGCAGGUAAAGAAACCCCGGCUAACUCCGUGCCAGCAGCCGCGGUAAUACGGAGGGGGUUAGCGUUGUUCAGAAUUACUGGGCGUAAAGCGCGCGUAGGCGGAUUAGUCAGUUAGAGGUGAAAUCCCAGGGCUCAACCCUGGAACUGCCUUUAAUACUGCUAGUCUUGAGUUCGAGAGAGGUGAGUGGAAUUCCGAGUGUAGAGGUGAAAAUUCGUAGAUAUUCGGAGGAACACCAGUGGCGAAGGCGGCUCACUGGCUCGAUACUGACGCUGAGGUGCGAAAGUGUGGGGAGCAAACAGGAUUAGAUACCCUGGUAG